RNAcentral lists this ribosomal RNA (730 nucleotides) under Candidatus Tremblayella phenacoccinincola. RNAcentral's name for it is "bacterial SSU rRNA". It matches the Rfam family "Bacterial small subunit ribosomal RNA", at positions 658 to 1382 of the family's 1533-position model. Lineage: Bacteria; Pseudomonadati; Pseudomonadota; Betaproteobacteria. The record is from RNAcentral.
GGGAUAGAAUUCCAGGAGUAGCGGUGAAAUGCGUAGAUAUCUGGAGGAAUACCAAAGGCGAAGGCAGUCCCCUGGUCCGAUACUGACACUGAGGUACGAAAGCGUGGGGAGCAAACAGGAUUAGAUACCCUGGUAGUCMACGCCCUAAACGAUGUCGAUUAGCCAUUGGAASGACCCCUUUUCSUUUCAGUGACGUAGCUAACGCGUUAAAUCGACCGCCUGGGAAGUACGACCGCAAGGUUAAAACUCAAAGGAAUUGACGGGGACCUGAACAAGCGGUGAAUGAUGUGGAUUAAUUCGAUGCUACGCGAAGAACCUUUACCUACCUUUGACAUGGCCAAAGUUCUACCGAGAGGCGGAAGUACUCGUAAGAGGAUUGGCGCACAGGUGCUGCAUGGUUGUCGUCAGUUCGUGUCGUGAGAUGUUGGGUUCAGUCCCGCAACGAACGCAACCCUUAUCUUUAAUUGCUCCUAUUUUAACAGGCACUUUAAAGAAACUGCCAAUGAUAAGUUGGAGGAAGGUGGGGAUCACGUCAAGUCCGCAUGGCCUUUAUAGGUAGGGCUUCACACGUCAUACAAUGGUUAGAACAAAGAGCUGCAAAUUCGUAAGAAGGAGCCAAUCUCACAAACCUAACCUCAGUUCGAAUUGCGGUCUGCAACUCGAGCGCAUGAAGCCGGAAUCGCUAGUAAUCGUGGAUCAGAAUGCCACGGUGAAUACGUUCUUAGGUCUU